Cephus cinctus (wheat stem sawfly) is the source of this 734-nucleotide long non-coding RNA. RefSeq lists it as uncharacterized. The transcript is spliced from 2 exons. Lineage: Eukaryota; Metazoa; Arthropoda; Insecta; Hymenoptera; Cephidae. The record is from RefSeq and is a predicted model, not a curated record.
AACGUUACCGCGCGGGAAUGCCAGAACGCGCACCCAUUGGCUGUUGGACGCACGGAUUUCUAUCGCAGUCUGAACCACGUUGGGAGAAAUAGAAUGUGGCCCCGGCAGGGCUUCAUUGGGUCAGGAAAAUAUGUAAAUAGUCGUCGAGCAAGCAGGUACACUGUUCACAGGGAAUGCUCGUCAAAUUCCUAAAUACAAGGACUCUUGGAAGUGAGAUGGGAGAACAGGUGAAAUAGAAUAAGAAGAGAGACCAUUUUACCUCGGGGAAUUUCAUUUGGAAGCAGGUAGCAUCCUAUAGCAUAGUUCCUUUCUUCCAGCAGUUUCCCGGACCUGAAGGCGAAAAGAGGAAAUCCUGUGAAUGUGAACAAUUGUUUUGUGAAACGUUGUGCGCCCUGAAGGAAUGGCUCCGUAGGCGGACCCGGUUGUGCCGCACCUGACCAGAUAGCGCAGCGUGGCGGUGGUGGCAGUCCUGUUCCGUUGUUCUUGUUGGCCUCGCGCUAUUUACUCUUGGACCUACGAGACACGAGGUUCUGUUCGGUUCGCAGUGACUGCUAGGUCGCUUUGAUGUCUUAAGCGGAACGAGGAAUAUGGCAAAGCAAAUCGCGGCUGCUUGGAAUAGAACGCAGUCGGCGCUGCUCUCAGAUUUGCUCCGUUCGCCAGUGAAGCAACGGUAUUUCGUGAAAGGUCAACGUAUACGUGUACAAACAGGCUCAUUAAAUGUUCUAUUUAAAUUA